UCUCUCUCUCUCCACUCCUCAACUGCCACCACCCCACACCUCUCUCCUAUACCCACACUCUCACCCCUCUCACUCACUCACUCUCUCAUGGGCUAUGAAUACCCCUCUUCACUCCUCCCAUAAUCUUUCACCGAAUUCCUUCGCCGCCAACCACCUCCCCAUCCCCGCUCUCUCCAUCUGAAGCGAUGUUCAGAGGCGAGGGGCGUCUUCCAGAGGCGAGGUUCUGAGACGACGGGUCAAUUGUUAGAUCACAGGCCUUCAGAGGUUUCUUCAAUUCAACCAAGUUUAAGGUUUUGACAAUUCAAAGCAAUUCGAAUCUCGCACCGCUCAGUUCUGCUAACCACUAGUUGGCUACUGGAUACAUAGUAGAAGAAUCUUUUCCAGUCGACGAGGUUUACAGAAGAAGAUUGAGACUUCUGUUCAAUGAUAUUGUCUCAUUUCUGCAAUAUUCAACCUGAGGUUGGCCGUAGAAGAUUGGGAAUAUUGUUCUAUGAUAUUGACUCCUCUCUGCAUUAUUCAAGCCAUGAAGACUGAACUAUUGGUUUCAGAUUGAGAAGGAUCAACUGUUGGAAAUUUACGGAAUUUUGGAUGAAUGAAAUCAGGGCUACCGGAGGGUCUCACGAGGCAACCGUGCAUGUCUCGGGUUCAUUGUAUUUGGACGCACCACAAUCAAUAGACGUAUUGAUGUGUGGAUUUCGUAACUCCCGUAACCCCUCACCAUGAUUGUCAUUCACUAUUGUAACCUCCUUCAUUCAAAUGGCUGAAUUCAUUUCAACAUUUGAUGGCAGCAUUCACCUCUCAUACCUCCUUCACUCUAUAUAAAGAAGGCUCACGUUUUGGAGAAUGCAUUAGAAAAUCAAGUGUGCUACUAUACCUUCGAGCAAAUUGUUCUUAGAGAGAGAGAGACAGGUGGUAGUCAAUUCGCCAAGGCGGUCGAUGGUGGUGUUCCGACGGCUUGCGGUUUAGUUGAGCCAACCAUGUGAGGAAGACGCCAAACAAGAUCCUACAACACCCACGGUAGGCGGCGAAUCUUUCUUAAGGAGACUGUGGUAUCACACAGGACCCCGUUCUUGAUCUGGAAAUUCUGUUUAUAUCUCGUACUUACGAUUUGUCUACUGUUAUGUAUUUUGUAACUUGAUUCGUUCAUGUAAUCAUGUUGUUAUCAAUGAGAUUGUUCUCUAGAAUUUCGUUAUUGCCGAAUUUUUCCCAACAUCAACUUCAACCUUGCUGUCAUGAUAUCUUUUUUUUUUGAUAAGUCAAUCAAUUCAUUGCACGAUACCCAAAGAUAAAAGCCUGAAGGUUACAACGAUUUCAUCAAAGAAUACAGGAAUGAACCAAAACUACUAAAACCUAGACACGAAGCACAUCUACUAGAAGUCUUCUAAGCACAUACUGCCGAAGGCAGACCAAACAUAAAUGCAGGGCAAUGAACCCGUCUCCGAUUUUUGUAGUAGAGCUCAAAGGGACACCCAGUUCAAACCAUAGCCAAAAGCACGGAUGAAAUCAACACCAAACCAGAACAAAAAAACUAAACAGACUGAAAAACUUAUUCGCCUACCUACCACGCCCACCGGAUCUGGAAAACCAGACCGGUACAGUCACCGAAUUGGGGAGACUGGCCCGGAGAAACCAAGCCAAAGACAGCUGGUACUGAAACCUCCGGCCAUGGAGCUAUCGCCAGCAAAACGCCACCCCGUAAGCUGGAAACUUAUUGCCGGAGGGAGCCGAGCCACCCUACUUCAUCUCUCCGUCAGAGCUAUCCCAAAAACACCAAAGCAGAGGGAGGCGGUAGAGACGGUGGAGGCGGAGAGGUGAUGGUGAG
This is a long non-coding RNA of Rhododendron vialii, 1822 nucleotides long. RefSeq lists it as uncharacterized. The transcript has 6 exons. The record is from RefSeq and is a predicted model, not a curated record. Lineage: Eukaryota; Viridiplantae; Streptophyta; Magnoliopsida; Ericales; Ericaceae.